UGGGGAAUCUUGCACAAUGGAGGGAACUCUGAUGCAGCGACGCCGCGUGAACGAAGAAGGCUUUCGAGUCGUAAAGUUCUUUUAUAUGGGAAGAUAAUGACGGUACCAUAAGAAAAAGCCCCGGCUAACUACGUGCCAGCAGCCGCGGUAAUACGUAGGGGGCUAGCGUUGUCCGGAAUCACUGGGCGUAAAGGGUUCGCAGGCGGAAAUGCAAGUCAGGUGUAAAAGGCAGUAGCUUAACUACUGUAAGCAUUUGAAACUGCAUAUCUUGAGAAGAGUAGAGGUAAGUGGAAUUUUUAGUGUAGCGGUGAAAUGAGUACAUAUUAAAAAGAAUACCGGUGGGGAAGGCGACUUACUGGGCUCAUUCUGACGCUGAGGAACGAAAGCGUGGGUAGCAAACAGG
This 403-nucleotide ribosomal RNA is filed under the name bacterium. RNAcentral's name for it is "partial 16S ribosomal RNA". It matches the Rfam family "Bacterial small subunit ribosomal RNA", at positions 355 to 776 of the family's 1533-position model. The record is from RNAcentral.